Molecule: ribosomal RNA, 301 nt
Filed under: uncultured bacterium
Lineage: Bacteria
Description: partial 16S ribosomal RNA
Rfam family: Bacterial small subunit ribosomal RNA
Source: RNAcentral
CAGCAGCCGCGGGAAUACGAGGGGGGCAAGCGUUGUUCGGAAUUAUUGGGCGUAAAGGGCGCGUAGGCGGUUUGACAAGUUUGGUGUGAAAUCUAUGGGCUCAACCCAUAGCCUGCAUCGAAAACUGUCGGGCUUGAGUAUGGGAGAGGUGAGUGGAAUUUCCGGUGUAGCGGUGAAAUGCGUAGGUAUCGGAAGGAACACCUGUGGCGAAAGCGGCUCACUGGACCAUUACUGACGCUGAGGCGCGAAAGCUAGGGGAGCAAACAGGAUUAGAUACCCGGGUAGUCCCUGUCUCUUAUAC